This 460-nucleotide ribosomal RNA is filed under the name uncultured bacterium. RNAcentral's name for it is "partial 16S ribosomal RNA". It matches the Rfam family "Bacterial small subunit ribosomal RNA", at positions 338 to 795 of the family's 1533-position model. The record is from RNAcentral.
CCUACGGGAGGCAGCAGUGAGGAAUAUUGGUCAAUGGGCGCGAGCCUGAACCAGCCAAGUAGCGUGAAGGAUGACUGCCCUACGGGUUGUAAACUUCUUUUAUAAAGGAAUACAGUGAGGCACGUGUGCCUUUUUGUAUGUACUUUAUGAAUAAGGAUCGGCUAACUCCGUGCCAGCAGCCGCGGUACUACGGAGGAUCCGAGCGUGAUCCGGAUUUAUUGGGUUUAAAGGGAGCGUAGAUGGGUUGUUAAGUCAGUUGUGAAAGUGUGGGGCUCAACCGUAAAAUUGCAAUGGAUACUGGCAGCCUUGAGUACAGUAGAGGUAGGCGGAAGUCGUGGUGUAGCGGUGAAAUGCUUAGAUAUCACGAAGAACUCCGAUGGCGAAGGCAGCUUACUAAACUGCCACUGACAUUGAUGCUCGAAAGUGUGGGUAGCAAACAGGAUUAGAUACCCGGGUAGUC